ACUAUAAAGAUCAUCAACCACAAUCACUAAUAAAGACUUUGAAAUUUUAGCUUGUUAGGAAAUUGUGCUCAUAUUUGAAGAAAAAGAUUACAUGGUUUUCUAUUCAAUGACUAUAUUGACCUAUGGUUCUAUAAAAUAGGCAUAUAAGGAGUGGAUGUUUAUACUGAAGUCUCAGCUUAAUAAAGUGUUCUUUUUUCUGAGCACAAUCUCAUCUUAAAGCACUGUCAUGAAGGAAGAUGGAAGCACUUUUAAAACUUGAGGGUCAAAAUGUAGGAAGAUGACCAUAUGAAUGAAAUCAUUAACCUGGUCUUCUCAAAGUAGAUUUAUGGAAGAUCCACACAUCUAGCAAUUACAAGGACACCAAAAAAUGCUGAAUUUGAAGAGUAGACUAUCCUCUGUGGUGGAUUAGUAGGGUGGCUUAGCAGAUAUGCAGAUCAUAUCUUCAAAGCUUUGAAAAGAUACGUGUUCUGAACACCACUACUAACUUAAUUAGUUUCUUUAAAACCUUUGGCCCAAUUCACUAUGGAACACUGAAAUCAUAUGGCAUACCAGGCAAAUAUAUGAGUAUUGUUGCACAAUGGGAAAAGGGUAAAAAAGCUGUAUAAAAGGAAAUGGAAACAGACUUCAAGGUCAGAAAAAGGGUAAAUUUUGUUGAGUGUGUUGUGAUUUAAUGUUUCUGAAAGUUAAGUUCAAAAGUUUAGACAUGCUUCAGAUACAUAAAAGAAUAUUCAGUUUCUUGUCUUAAGACAAAUUGCCUAUUGAAUAAUGCUGGUAUAGAUAAUGUGACUUUCCAGUUGAAAUAUUGACUAGGGUUCCUAAGCAGUGCAAAAUCCUGUGGCAUACUGCAACAGAAACCCCCUCUGUGCCUGGGAACAUUUGGUACCAUGGCACUCCAAUCUAAUGAUCAUGAGAGAUACUGCAGUUUGAAAAAAAUGAUACGGGCCACAGAAUUACAAGGAAGCUAGUAGAAUGUAACAGUGGUAACUGGUAGCCAAGAAUAGCACUUGCUAGUUUCUAGGCAGCACCGAUUGUCAUUAUUUUUUCUAAUUGAUACUUCUGAUUACAGAUUAUUAAUAUGAUGGAAAGACUGCUUUAUAUUAGAUUUGAUCCCAUUCCCAUUACAAUUAAUAUCACGCUUGAGGCCAUGUUGUACUUUUCUCUGAGUUAUCAAUAUGUUACAAUAUUUAACAUAGCCUAUUACUCAUAAUAUUUUGUGUUAAGGUUAGGAAGACUGUAUGUUACAAAAGUACACACAUUGUUUUUUCAAGGAGUUGGGAGUGCAAAGAAAGGUCACAUUUAAGUGCAUACAUAUCCUUAGGUACUUAACAGGCAGAUUAGGAUUUGGUCCCAUGUUUCAAAUUUGGUUGAAGUUUUUCCUAGAAAUUUACUCAUUAAAUCCUCUUUUAUAUGUUUACUCUUCUUUCUAGUCCCUAUUGAAAUAAUGUUUGCCUGUUUCCAGUCUGUAGGAGGAAGAUAUUAGAUUAUUUGGAUAGGCUAAAACCACCUGGAUCUGACAGAGUUCUGCUUCAUUCCAUUUUUGAACAAGAAUGUCUCAUCACAAAGUGAUCCUUUGCACAGCAUAAUGACGGGUUCCAGCUAGCUCUUUCUUGCAAGAACCACUUAAAGCACUCACCUGUUCUCAGUUUCCCACUCUGCCUGGUUUGGAACAAAGACAUAAAAUUAGUAGUGUAACUUGUGGGGCAGCAUGUGAGGCACCAACCAUCGGCACUGAUUCAGAGGGGCACCAGAAUGACAACUCCCAUGGAGUCUAUGCCAUCACUGCUGCCACUACUGCAGCAGCCUGUGUUUGGAGAGAUUUUACUGAGAUGUCAGCAGGCUGCACCAUCCCCUGCACAGAGAGAUCAUCCUUAUUGGGAAAGAGAUACAAGAUACCAUCACAAAUCAUAUCUAAACAGCCACAGGGAGGGAAAUGAAGGCAUGCUGUGAAGAAACCAGGCUAAACACCUAUUCAUUUUUAUUUGCUUUGCUGGGAUUCUGACUACUGGUGAAAAAGUGAGGAAUGGAGUAAUGCCUGCUGAAUUAUACCUUUCUACAGAGAACAAUACUCUGAGAGAGACAAAGAGAACUUUGUGGAAGCAAGAAGUGACUGAAAAGGGUGCUCUGAAAAAAUCUAUUUCUCUGGAGGCCAAUUUCAUGAAUUUUUUGUAAGCUGACUCAUGGUUUGGAACUCUGAAUGGUUGGCGAUCCUGGAAGGAAUAACAUGCUCUGGACUUGGGGACAUAGUUGCUAAUAAAAACAGAGCUCUUGGGGACCUGGAGAAUGGGAAAAAGAGGAGUACAGUAUUGAGUAACAUGAGGACAUUGGAAGAAAGCACUUCAGCAUUGUAUAUGAGAUCUAUUUUGAAUGCGUGCUUCAGCAUUCAUCUGAAAAUGGUUACUCUUCUGAACAGUUAUUUAUUGCUUACUUCCUAGCUUUAUAGACCCUAGAAUUGCUUGGCUGAUCUCCCAGUUCCCCCUGUCACACACCAUUUUCUGUCAACAGUAUACUUUUCACGUUUCAGGUGAUUUCAUUAAGAGCUCUUAGGUCUUGUUUGAUAUUUAUGCAUUACCUGGGUAAAAGUGCCUUAUCUUCCCUCAGUUUUUUCUGCCAAAAUGCCUACAAUCAUUUGGAUUUAUGAAAACUUUCUAUAGUGACUUUCAGCGAGCCUUUGAUAUAUAAUGUGAAGGUCUCUCUGGACAUACUUUCUUAGUUAUAUAUGUGCAAUUGGAUGAGGCAUACCUGUUUUCUAUUGUAACUUUGAUUUACAAAUGGACUAGGUAAGUCCAAGUUGUUUUCAUGUUUGAUUACUUCUUUGUUUGUUUUGUUCUGUACUUUUUCAAUCACAGAUGGCUGUGGGAUUUUUUGGAUGACAUUUUAAUAGUGUAAUAUAAACGUGCUAUUAAUAUGUCCACAAACAAAAAUGUUCUUCAGUAAUUUGAUUUGGAAGAAAUAGAGAGGAAAGCAUUACAAAUAGAAUGCUGUUCAAACUUGCAAGCUUUUUAAGACUUGCUUCUGUUACCUUUCUACAUGGUGAAUGGUACCAUACUCUGAGAGGUAGACCUAUUGAAAUCAGUAGGGAUACUUAGCAGCAAUGUACUUUCUAUAUGAGAAAGGAGGAGACAGACUAUAAGAGACUACCCUCUAAGACUGGAGAGAUAAUUUGCACUUCAAACUAGUGUAAAAAUUUAUGUGUAUCUCUGUGUACAGGCCUACUCAUUCCUCUCCAUUCUCAUUCUGAAGAAUUUUAAGUCUCUUCUGCUGAAGUUCGGCAGAUCAUCACAACUGCCCAUUUAAUUUAUGUAAGCAAAACUUUCCUUUGUGAAAAUGUAGCCCUUUUAGCCUUUAUAUUUUAAUUCAAGUGGUCCUUGUGAAAAAUUUGUCAAGUAAAAUGCUGUACGCCUUACUUUCACUAUUGUUAAUUAUAAUUAUUCUGCAAAGAA
Molecule: long non-coding RNA, 3440 nt
Organism: Alligator mississippiensis (American alligator)
Lineage: Eukaryota; Metazoa; Chordata; Crocodylia; Alligatoridae
Exons: 4
Source: RefSeq, a predicted model, not a curated record